This 31-nucleotide non-coding RNA is filed under the name Homo sapiens (human). Lineage: Eukaryota; Metazoa; Chordata; Mammalia; Primates; Hominidae. The record is from RNAcentral.
UCUGCUAAAAAGCACUCCAGGCGCUUGGAGA